GACGAACGCUGGCGGCGUGCUUUAGACAUGCAAGUCGAACGAGAUCUUCGGAUCUAGUGGCGAACGGCGGAGUAAUACAUAAACAACGUGCCCUGAAGACUGGGAUAUACGGUCGAAAGGCCGAGCAAUACCGGAUGUGGCCGAGACUAGGCAUCUAGACUCGAUUAAAUGGUUUUUCGCUUCAGGAGCGGUUUAUGACUCAUCAGCUAGUUGGUAGGGUAAUGGCCUACCAAGGCUACGACGGGUAGGGGGUCUGAGAGGAUGAUCCCCCCGAGUGGGACUGAGACACGGCCCACACACCUACGGGUGGCAGCAGUUUGGAAUCUUGCCCAAUGGGGGAAACCCUGAGGCAGCGACGCCGCGUGGAGGAUGAAGGAUUUAGGUCUGUAAACUCCUUUUGCCAGGAAAGACUUAGGACGGUACCUGGCGAAUAAGCUCCGGCUAACUACGUGCCAGCAGCCGCGGUAAU
This 469-nucleotide ribosomal RNA is filed under the name uncultured bacterium. RNAcentral's name for it is "bacterial SSU rRNA". It matches the Rfam family "Bacterial small subunit ribosomal RNA", at positions 28 to 524 of the family's 1533-position model. The record is from RNAcentral.